Long non-coding RNA from Vespula pensylvanica (western yellowjacket), 1181 nucleotides. RefSeq lists it as uncharacterized. The record is from RefSeq and is a predicted model, not a curated record. Lineage: Eukaryota; Metazoa; Arthropoda; Insecta; Hymenoptera; Vespidae. The transcript has 3 exons.
ACGUUUGUAGAACUGAAACUUCCUUACCGACGUAGCCUGCGAAAGAUAAUCCUGUAUUUAAUAAGAACGAAGUACCCAAGCGCAGGCGCUCACGAAAUAAAACAAAAUUGAUUUUUUUGCCCGUUACUCCUAAAAUUAAAUUACUUUCAGCGAUAACGAAAGGCCUUCAGGGUGCAUUUAUAUGGCCGGCGGCCGAACGAGCCGUUGCACCCAUUAGAAGUGCGACGGUUGAAAAUGGUAUAUCCGAAGGACAGGUUGUUGAACGCGCGCCAUAUGAAAACUUGGAAUCACCUUUAAACGAUAAAACGGAUGGGAGAGCACAGAUGCGGAGGAAGUUACGACCAUGAAUUAUUGCUCUCGCGGAGAGGAACACCAUUUGGCACGUUCACGAGCGCGUUGCCGAUAUCUUCAGUGUCUACUGUAUCGUUCGUCAUCCACUUUCUUCGAAACUUGACGCUUUCUGCUCCUUAAUCGCAUAGUCGAGUUCAUUCAAAUUGUACGCGGAUAAGAAUGACCCAAGUAACGAGUCUACUCGAUAUUAUUAGUAAAGUAUUAAUAACAUUUAAUAAUAACAAUAACGAUUAUAAUUGCCUAACGAUAGUUAUCGCAUUUGAAAUCUCUUUUGUUCAAAUAUAUUUGCCAAAUGAAACAGUGGCGAAUGCUACUAUGAACGCUAGUCGACAUUUUGUGUUCUCAUUUUUCCACUAGUUUGCGAGACAUUUAAACACGAUUUGUUAUGGAAAGGAACGUUUUAAACUUUCCAAAACCACGAGGAAAACAGAAAAUAAUGUAGCUUUUUGUACGUUGGUUUGAAGGCAAAUAAUAAUUGUUGGUCCUGGUACGGUGAGCUUACGCCUCGAAUCUCUUCUCACAAUGGCGACGCUUAAUACUACGUGGCUCUUAAGACAUGAUGCGUGGAAGUCUCGAAGCUCGCGAUCCUUUGUGACAACUACUUUUCUUAGCGCCUAUGCCCGUAGGACCGGCUACAAGGUCCUAGCAUGGCAUUGUCAAGACUGGAUUCGAAGGUCAGGACGAACGGCUCGCGUGAGCGACCUUCCCCUCUACUCACCGUUUUUCGUUUACCGGAAAAAGAGAUCUCUCUCUCUCUCUCCCUCUCUCUUUCUCCUUCUCUGUUUGUUAUUGUAAAUAGAAAGAACGUGAAUAAAGGUUAUAUACAAAUA